This 63-nucleotide ribosomal RNA is filed under the name Pectobacterium carotovorum. The record is from RNAcentral. Lineage: Bacteria; Pseudomonadati; Pseudomonadota; Gammaproteobacteria; Enterobacterales; Pectobacteriaceae. RNAcentral also lists the same sequence under 5 other names.
CCUGGCGGCGAUAGCGCGGUGGUCCCACCUGACCCCAUGCCGAACUCAGAAGUGAAACGCCGU